UACGUAGGGGGCGAGCGUUGUCCGGAAUCAUUGGGCGUAAAGCGCGUGUAGGCGGCCCGGUAAGUCCGCUGUGAAAGUCCAGGGCUCAACCCUGGAAAGCCGGUGGAUACUGUCGGGCUAGAGUCCGGAAGAGGCGAGUGGAAUUCCUGGUGUAGCGGUGGAAUGCGCAGAUAUCAGGAGGAACACCAAUAGCGAAGGCAGCUCGCUGGGACGGUACUGACGCUAAGGCGCGAAAGCGUGGGGAGCGAACAGG
Molecule: ribosomal RNA, 253 nt
Filed under: uncultured bacterium
Lineage: Bacteria
Description: partial 16S ribosomal RNA
Rfam family: Bacterial small subunit ribosomal RNA
Source: RNAcentral